GUUGCUUCAUGGCUUUUUGGCUAACUUCAAGUGUUGUAUCUGUCCUUAUCUGAGGACAAUACAUUAAAUGGAUUUUGGAACAGGGAGAUGGAAUAAGAAUUUUCCUCCACUCCACGCAACAACCUGGUCAAUUAUUGCAGUACCUCCAGAAAUGGUGCACCCCUC
Molecule: small nuclear RNA, 165 nt
Organism: Callithrix jacchus (white-tufted-ear marmoset)
Lineage: Eukaryota; Metazoa; Chordata; Mammalia; Primates; Cebidae
Gene: U2
Rfam family: U2 spliceosomal RNA
About the family: U2 is a small nuclear RNA (snRNA) component of the spliceosome (involved in pre-mRNA splicing). Complementary binding between U2 snRNA (in an area lying towards the 5' end but 3' to hairpin I) and the branchpoint sequence (BPS) of the intron results the bulging out of an unpaired adenosine, on the BPS, which initiates a nucleophilic attack at the intronic 5' splice site, thus starting the first of two transesterification reactions that mediate splicing.
Source: Ensembl